This 72-nucleotide transfer RNA is filed under the name Felis catus (domestic cat). It matches the Rfam family "tRNA". Rfam says of the family: Transfer RNA (tRNA) molecules are approximately 80 nucleotides in length. Their secondary structure includes four short double-helical elements and three loops (D, anti-codon, and T loops). Further hydrogen bonds mediate the characteristic L-shaped molecular structure. tRNAs have two regions of fundamental functional importance: the anti-codon, which is responsible for specific mRNA codon recognition, and the 3' end, to which the tRNAs corresponding amino acid is attached (by aminoacyl-tRNA synthetases). tRNAs cope with the degeneracy of the genetic code in two manners: having more than one tRNA (with a specific anti-codon) for a particular amino acid; and 'wobble' base-pairing, i.e. permitting non-standard base-pairing at the 3rd anti-codon position. RNAcentral also lists the same sequence under 3 other names. Lineage: Eukaryota; Metazoa; Chordata; Mammalia; Carnivora; Felidae. The record is from Rfam by way of RNAcentral.
GCCCAACUGCUCAGUCAGUAGAGCAUGUGACUCUUGAUCUCAGGGGUAUGAGUUCAAGCCCCGUGUUGGGUG